RNAcentral lists this ribosomal RNA (472 nucleotides) under Sesamia sp. SEKEG6468. RNAcentral's name for it is "partial 16S large subunit ribosomal RNA". The record is from RNAcentral. Lineage: Eukaryota; Metazoa; Arthropoda; Insecta; Lepidoptera; Noctuidae.
UGUCUUUUUGAAAUUAAUAUAAAGUCUAAUCUGCCCACUGAUUUUAUAUUAAAGGGCUGCAGUAUAUUGACUGUACAAAGGUAGCAUAAUCAUUAGUCAUUUAAUUGAUGACUUGUAUGAAAGAUUGGAUGAAAUAUGAACUGUCUCUUAGUUAAAUAUAGAAUUUAAUUUUUUAGUUAAAAAGUUAAAAUAAAUUAAAAAGACGAGAAGACCCUAUAGAGUUUUAUAAAUAAGUUAGUUAAGAUUAUUUAAUAAAGUUAAAAUUAAUUUAUUUAUUGUAUUGGGGUGAUAGAAAAAUAUAUUUAACUUUUUUUUUAUGUUAGUACAUUUAUAAGUGAUUAAAUGAUCCAAUAUUAUUGAUUAUAAGAAAAAAUUACCUUAGGGAUAACAGCGUAAUUUUUUUUUUUAGUUCACAUAAGAAAAAGAGUUUGCGACCUCGAUGUUGGAUUAAGAUAAAAUUUAAAUGCAGAAG